GCCGCGUCGGUAGUGCUCCUUGGAGUUGUCGCUCGCAAUCCUCGGUUUCUCUUCCGUGAUGGCAGUUGUCCACAACCGGACCUCCCCUGGGUCACGCCGCCCCUGCCGCCUACACCCACUGCCGCGCCGCACGCCGCUGGAUCUCCACCCCCACCCUCCCCGCUCCACUAGAUCCCCGCACGCCGCACCACCCCCGGCCAUGGGCGCUGGCUACCCGCCUCCCCCUCCACCAGCUCCCCCGGAUCCCCGCACCACCCGGCCAUGGCGAUGGCUGCUCCCCCCGCUGGGAAUCCCCGCUCCUCCGGCCAUGAAGGGCUCCUCUAGCUCCGGUCGUGCACUCCAGCACCGACAGCCACGGUCGUACUCGUGUAAUUCAACAGCGACCCCACCAUCGGAUGGGCGGCCAUGGCAUGCCGACAUGCCGUCCCAGCGCAAGUCCUUUUCUCUGUAUCUUGACCCCGGACCAUUUUUCCUGUAUCUUCAAAUUGGCUCUCUCCCCUCUCUUUUUUGGAUUUCACGCUUCUCUUUCCUCUUCAACUGUUCGUGACCUUCCUCCCAGGUCUGCUUCCGCAUUUUUGGUUGGUGAAGCAUACCAUCGUUCUUUGUUUCAAUCCAAAUCAGACAUGGGUCGGUCUCGCGCGCGAGCACGGCAGCCCCUGAGCAACAUUUCGAUGCUCGCACUUCCUAGGAACCAGGAGCCCCACGACCGCUUCCCUUUCUUCAGCUCGCUGCCGAGCGUCUCCAGCCAAGACGUGACAUUGAGAGAUGGCCAUGGCCGCCCGAUGUCGGAGCGCCGCCGGCCAAGGACCCGCCGGCAUCUAGACCCCCUCCACGCCAUCUCCAUCUCACCGGAGACCUGCACCAAGUCCCAUCCAGCGCCUUCGCCACCCUUCGGCCCCCGCCCCGUAGCUCUGCAGCCCGAGCGCUUCAACCGACUUGUGCCUGAAGCAGAGGAGAGGAGCUCCCUGCCACGAGCCUCUCCGGCGUUGGCAAACCAGCAGGCUGACCCCGCCUCCUACCUUUUUUUCCGCCGCGACGCAUCACCCCUUCGCUGUCUCCUACGGCGUGGACGCCGACGGCAAGUGGUGGCCGGUACCCGGCGGUGGAGAACGCGGUGAAGCAGUUUAAUUAAGGAUCGCGGGUAGGAUUGUAACUAAUGCAGGGUUGUUUUUGUAAAAAUGAAGCAUUUUCUGAUAUACCCACUUAAAAUAGGAUGGCGGGUUGAAUUCUAAUAAAUGGAGGGACUUUUCUGCAAAAAGGCUGACGACGUACGGGCAGAAACCCAUUUUUGUUUAUUAUUAGGUAAAGAUAUACAUGUUAUUCUUCUGUAGACACCCAUUUUUGUUUAUUAUUAGGUAAAGAUAUACAUGUUAUUCUUCUGUAGAUAGAGCAAAUCACACGGUUUAUUAGCAACAAUCGUUUGUGUUAUUAUUGGUCUUCGCACACAUUUCUGAUUACGGACCUGUUUGCCGUGUAUCGCAC
RNAcentral lists this ribosomal RNA (1482 nucleotides) under Triticum aestivum (bread wheat). RNAcentral's name for it is "partial small subunit ribosomal RNA". Lineage: Eukaryota; Viridiplantae; Streptophyta; Magnoliopsida; Poales; Poaceae. The record is from RNAcentral.